Molecule: RNase P RNA, 416 nt
Filed under: Tissierellia bacterium
Lineage: Bacteria; Bacillati; Bacillota; Tissierellia
Description: RNase P RNA component class A
Rfam family: Bacterial RNase P class A
About the family: Ribonuclease P (RNase P) is a ubiquitous endoribonuclease, found in archaea, bacteria and eukarya as well as chloroplasts and mitochondria.
Source: RNAcentral
AGAGUAAAUUAUACAAUCGCAUGCAUAGCAUGAGGAAAGUCCGAGCUCCAUAGAGCAGGGUGCCGGGUAAUCCCCGGUGAGGGUGACCUUAAGGAUAGUGCAACAGAAAGAUACCGCCCCGCACUCAAUCUGUAAGAGAUUCAGUUUAUUAUUUAAGAUAUGUAAAUUAUAAAUUAAUAGUAUAGAGUCUUUUACAGAUUGAGUGCGGGGUAAGGAUGGAAAGGUGAGGUAAGAGCUCACCGGCAAUCAGGCGACUGAUUGGCCAUGUAAACCCCACCCGGAGCAAGACCAAGAAAGGACCUUGGAGUGGCUGCUCGUCACGGUCCAAAUGGUAGGUCGCUUGAGUUUGUCGGUAACGGCAAGCCUAGACAGAUGAUUGUUUAAUACAGAACUCGGCUUAUGUAUUUACUCACCAA